Non-coding RNA from Pelobates cultripes (western spadefoot toad), 236 nucleotides. NCBI's taxonomy places the organism in Eukaryota, Metazoa, Chordata, Amphibia, Anura, Pelobatidae. The record is from the annotation of a GenBank genome assembly.
GGAUUAUUUCAUAUCAAGGCAAUUCCGAUGCCUGCAACUAACUUCCGUUCAUUACCAACAUCAUGGUGAUAUGAACAAUCAUCAAUGUACACCCACGGUAGUAGUCGACAGUAUUCCUCGUCAUAAACUUGUUAAGGGGAUAGCAAUUUCUCUUCUAGGAAGUCAUAUCCGGUGUCAUUAUCCUCGAGAGAUGGAGCAGUACAGUCAUGUAAUUCUGCUAAACCUUGGGCAACUAG